MicroRNA precursor from Anolis carolinensis (green anole), 88 nucleotides. It matches the Rfam family "mir-449 microRNA precursor family". The record is from Rfam. Lineage: Eukaryota; Metazoa; Chordata; Lepidosauria; Squamata; Anolidae.
UGUGUGUGGUGGAAUGGCAGUGUAUUGUUAGCUGGAUGAGUAUCUCAAUGCCCCCAGCUGACAUUCAGCUGCCAAUCUACGGCACAUA